This 253-nucleotide ribosomal RNA is filed under the name uncultured bacterium. RNAcentral's name for it is "partial 16S ribosomal RNA". It matches the Rfam family "Bacterial small subunit ribosomal RNA", at positions 524 to 776 of the family's 1533-position model. The record is from RNAcentral.
GACAGAGGGUGCAAACGUUGCUCGGAAUCACUGGGCGUAAAGGGCGUGUAGGCGGGAAGGCAAGUCAGAUGUGAAAUCCCCAGGCUCAACCUGGGAACUGCAUUUGAAACUGCCUUUCUUGAGUACCGGAGAGGAAAGUGGAAUUCCUGGUGUAGAGGUGAAAUUCGUAGAUAUCAGGAGGAACACCAGUGGCGAAGGCGGCUUUCUGGACGGUAACUGACGCUGAGACGCGAAAGCGUGGGGAGCAAACAGG